AGGCAGCAGUAGGGAAUUUUUCGUCAAUGGGCGCAAGCCUGAACGAGCGAUGCCGCGUGAGUGAAGAAGGCCUUCGGGUCGUAAAGCUCUGUUGCGGGGGAAAAAAGGCAUCUGCAGGAAAUGGUAGAUGACAGAUGGUGCCCCGCCAGAAAGUCACGGCUAACUACGUGCC
RNAcentral lists this ribosomal RNA (172 nucleotides) under uncultured bacterium. RNAcentral describes it as "partial 16S ribosomal RNA". It matches the Rfam family "Bacterial small subunit ribosomal RNA", at positions 346 to 509 of the family's 1533-position model. The record is from RNAcentral.